UACGAAGGGGGCUAGCGUUGCUCGGAAUUACUGGGCGUAAAGCGCACGUAGCGGUCUCUUAAGUCGGUGGUGAAAUCCUGGAGCUCAACUCCAGAACUGCCUUCGAUACUGGGGGACUCGAGUUCGGGAGAGGUGAGUGGAACUGCGAGUGUAGAGGUGAAAUUCGUAGAUAUUCGCAAGAACACCAGUGGCGAAGGCGGCUCACUGGCCCGAUACUGACGCUGAGGUGCGAAAGCGUGGGGAGCAAACAGG
RNAcentral lists this ribosomal RNA (252 nucleotides) under uncultured bacterium. Its description in RNAcentral is "partial 16S ribosomal RNA". It matches the Rfam family "Bacterial small subunit ribosomal RNA", at positions 524 to 776 of the family's 1533-position model. The record is from RNAcentral.